This 635-nucleotide ribosomal RNA is filed under the name Nebria lacustris. RNAcentral's name for it is "partial 16S ribosomal RNA". It matches the Rfam family "Bacterial large subunit ribosomal RNA", at positions 1858 to 2732 of the family's 2925-position model. The record is from RNAcentral. Lineage: Eukaryota; Metazoa; Arthropoda; Insecta; Coleoptera; Carabidae.
CAUGUCCUUUAGAAUUUAAUUUAAGGUCUAGCCUGCCCACUGAAAUUAAUUUAAAUGGCCGCAGUAAUUUGACUGUGCAAAGGUAGCAUAAUCAUUAGUUUUUUAAUUAAAAGCUUGUAUGAAAGGUUGGACGAGGUAAAAUCUGUCUCUAAUUAAUUUAAUUUAGAAUUUAACUUUUAAGUCAAAAGGCUUAAAUUUAAUUAAAAGACGAGAAGACCCUAUAGAUCUUUAUAAUUUAUUUAUUAAAUUUAAUUAAGAAUUUUUUAAAUUUUAUUAAUUUAAUUAUUUUAUUGGGGUAAUAUAAAGAUUAAAUUAAUUCUUUUUUUUUAUUAACAUUAAUUUAUGAUUUUAUGAUCCAAUUUUAUUGGUUAUAAGAUUAAGUUACCUUAGGGAUAACAGCGUUAUUUUUUUAGAGAGUUCUUAUCGAUAAAAAAGUUUACGACCUCGAUGUUGGAUUAAAGAUUAUUUCAGGUGUAGAAGUUUGAAAAUUUUGGUCUGUUCGACCAUUAAAUCUUUACAUGAUCUGAGUUCAGACCGGUGUAAGCCAGGUCGGUUUCUAUCUUUAAUAAAUUAAAAUAUUUUAGUACGAAAGGACCAAUUAUUUAAUAUAAAAUAUUUAAAUUUUGUUUAUUAUU